Molecule: ribosomal RNA, 2469 nt
Filed under: human oral metagenome
Description: bacterial LSU rRNA
Rfam family: Bacterial large subunit ribosomal RNA
Source: RNAcentral
GGCACUAAUAGUGGAUGCCUUGACAAUCAAUACCGAUGAAGGACGUAGAACUCUGCGAUAAGUCUUGGGGAGCUGAGAGCAAGCUUUGAUCCAGGAAUUUCCGAAUGGGGCAACCUAAUACGAGUCAUGUCGUAUUGCAACUACCUGAACACAUAGGGUAGUUAGACGGGAACCAACCGAACUGAAUCAUCUUAGUAGGUUGAGGAAAAGAGAAUAAACAAUGAUUCCGAAAGUAGUGGCGAGCGAAAUUGGAGCAGCCUAAACCUUAACAUAACCAUACGGUUUAACGGCCAGAGUUAUGAAAGGGGUUGCGAAAUAAGAUAAUUUUUAUGCUGAGGUAUUGGAAAUCCGAUAUUUCAGUAUAAAAACCAACAUCGUUAAAUGAGUGGAUAAUGUUAUAAAACUUAGAUCAUAGCGGAAGUGUUUGAAUGGCACACCAAAGAAGGUGAGAGUCCUGUAUGCGAAAUGGUCUUAGACAUUAUAUAUCUUUUUUCAAGUAGGACGGGGCACGAGAAACCCUGUUUGAAUCUGGCAGGACCACCUGCCAAGGCUAAAUAUAUUGAUUGAUCGAUAGCGAACUAGUACAGUGAUGGAAAGGUGAAAAGAACCCCGGGAGGGGAGUGAAAUAGAUCCUGAAACUUAGUGCCUACAAGGUGUCGGAGCAGCUUCGGCUGUGACGGCGUGCUUUUUGUAGAACGAUCCAGCGAGUUAAUGUUGUCGGCGAGGCUAAGUCAGAUGAUGGAGCCACAGUGAAAGCGAGCCUUAACAGGGCGACAAGUCGGCAGUAUUAGACCCGAAACCGGGUGACCUAACCAUGAGCAGGUUGAAGCUGCGGUAACACGCAGUGAAGGACCGAACCAGUUUGCGCAGUAAAGCAUUUGGAUGACUUGUGGUUAGCGGUGAAAUGCCAAUCGAACUCGGAGAUAGCUGGUUCUCCUCGAAAUAGCUUUAGGGCUAGCGUUGUGUUAGUAAUCACCAGGGGUAGAGCUCUGAAAAGGUUUGGGGCCGGCAACGGUACCCACCCUUAUCAAACUACGAAUACUGGUGGUGUAACCACAGCAGUCAGAACGGCGGGGCUAAGCUCGUCGCUCAAAAGGGAAACAGCCCAGAUCAUCGUCUAAGGUCCCCAAUUAACACUAAGUGGGAAACAAAGUGAAGUUUCUUAAACAGCUAGGAUGUUGGCUUAGAAGCAGCCAUUCAUUUAAAGAGUGCGUAACAGCUCACUAGUCAAGAGAUUUUGCGUGGAAAAUGUAACGGGGCUAAAGUGUUAAACCGAAGACAUGGACUUCAUAUUUUAUGGAGUGGUAGAGGAGCGUUGAUAUCGCAGUGAAGUCAGAUUGUAAAGUCUGGUGGAGCGUUAUCAAGUGAGAAUGCUGGAAUCAGUAACCUUAAGACAGGUGAGAAUCCUGUCGGUCGUAAGAGCAAGGUUUCCAGGGCUACAGUAAUUGUCCCUGGGUUAGUCGGUCCUAAGCCGAGGCGCAUCAGCGUAGGCGAUGGACAACAGGUUAAUAUUCCUGUACAGGUAGUAGUUGUUAACAGUUCACGGUGAGUGACUAGAGCGGAUUAAUGGUUUAUCCGUCCAAGGUUUCAAGGAAUUGAAACUGAGUGAAAGAUAUUCUUCGGAAUAUUGAUUCUGGGUACAACGCUGGCUAGAAAAGCUGGUUAACUUAUGCUGCUGCCUACCGUACCGCAAACCAACACCGGUGCUCGGGUCGAGUAGACCAAGACCUACGUGAGAACCUUCGCUAAGGAACUCGGCAAAAAAGCGUCCGUAACUUCGGAAUAAGGACUGCCCUCUCAUUAAGAUGAGGAUUUGCUAGAAACUUGGUGGAAACAUAAGGUUAAUAGUAUUUACCUAAUAAUUUAACCAAAUUUUUCGUCAAGACAGAACACAUCAGGAAAUAUCCUGUGAUAUCUUUUCUAGUAACUUAAUCGUCAUUUUGAUGAGAGGGUCGCAGCUAAAGAGCCCACGGAACUGUUUAACAAAAACAUAGGUCUCUGCUAACGCGAAAGCGGAUGUAUAGGGGCUGACUCCUGCCCGGUGUCGGAAGGUUAAGGGGAGAGCUUUACGGUUCGAACUGAAGCCCCGAUGAACGGCGGCGAUAACUAUGAUCGUCCUAAGGUAGCGAAAUUCCUUGUCAGGUAAGUUCUGACCCGCACGAAUGGAGUAAUCAUGUGGGCACUGUCUCGGCGAAGGACUCGGUGAAAGUGCAUUGGCGGUAAAGAUGCCGUCUGUCCAUGCCAGGACGAGAAGACCCCAUGGAGCUUUACUACAGCUUUACAUUGACACGGGUUACAUCAUGUGUAGCAUAGGUGGGAGGCUUUGAAGCAGAUACGCCAGUAUUUGUGGAGCCACAGGUGAAAUACCACCCUUGAUGUAGUCUUUGUCUUACCAUUGCCGUUAUCCGGUAAUGGGACCGUGUAUGGUGGGUAGUUUAACUGGGGCGGUUGCCUCCUAAAGAGUAGCGG